This 22-nucleotide non-coding RNA is filed under the name Arabidopsis thaliana (thale cress). Lineage: Eukaryota; Viridiplantae; Streptophyta; Magnoliopsida; Brassicales; Brassicaceae. The record is from RNAcentral.
CGAAGGAGCUCGUUGUCUUCGU